Vicia faba (fava bean) is the source of this 198-nucleotide non-coding RNA. NCBI's taxonomy places the organism in Eukaryota, Viridiplantae, Streptophyta, Magnoliopsida, Fabales, Fabaceae. The record is from the annotation of a GenBank genome assembly.
AUGAAUUUCUCACCUCUACCGAAGAUAAUAUCAGGAACAUUUGAGUUCAUUUUUGAAUUAUGGUUGAUGCGUUCAUGUAGAUUCAUUGAGAUUCAGUUGUAUGGAUCUUGCAAACUGAAACAUGUUGUUAUGCAGAGAAAAUUAGAAGCUAAGACGAUGAUAUGGUGUAGAAUUCUUGAUGAAGAUAAUGAUGAUUAA